AUACGGAGGGUGCAAGCGUUAAUCGGAAUUACUGGGCGUAAAGCGCGCGUAGGCGGUUUAGUAAGUCGGAUGUGAAAGCCCUGGGCUCAACCUGGGAAUUGCAUUCGAUACUGCUUGACUAGAGUAUGGUAGAGGGAAGUGGAAUUUCCGGUGUAGCGGUGAAAUGCGUAGAUAUCGGAAGGAACACCAGUGGCGAAGGCGACUUCCUGGGCCAAUACUGACGCUGAGGCACGAAAGCGUGGGGAGCAAACAGGAUUAGAUACCCUAGUAGUCC
RNAcentral lists this ribosomal RNA (274 nucleotides) under uncultured bacterium. Its description in RNAcentral is "partial 16S ribosomal RNA". It matches the Rfam family "Bacterial small subunit ribosomal RNA", at positions 523 to 796 of the family's 1533-position model. The record is from RNAcentral.